UUAGAGAUGGUUUUGAUGGUUAUUAUAUUGAGUUGUUUAGAUUUUUUGGCUGUCUUUUUAUAACAUGUAGCUACUUGAAUUGGUUUACAGCCUUUUUUGGAUUGUCCUGUUACAGCCCAAAAGUUUUAAGGCUGUGAAUAGCCAAUACAUGUAUUUUUUUAAUAGUUGUGUUGAAAAAAGGACAAACCUAAGCUCUCACAAAACCACAGAAUGCAAGGGUGGAAAAUUGACCAGUAUGUAG
Molecule: long non-coding RNA, 241 nt
Filed under: Helianthus annuus (common sunflower)
Lineage: Eukaryota; Viridiplantae; Streptophyta; Magnoliopsida; Asterales; Asteraceae
Description: hypothetical non coding rna
Source: RNAcentral